CACUCUAUGUGUUUUUGACGUUUUAUUGGGUUGUUUUGUUUUUUACACGUGUUUUUUGGUGCUUGGAUUGAAUAUAAGUGGAAGUGUUGGGAAGAUGUAGAAGCGAGAAUUGGUAAGUGUUAAGGAUUGGUUAGGUUGUGUGAUGAGAAAAUAUUACAUAUAGGUUGGGUUGAUUGAUUGAUUGAUUGAUUGAUUGAUUGAUUUUGUGCAUAAUUUUGAUAUGUUUACUAGUGUGUGUCGCCUUGAAUGAUAGUAAUGCAUCUAUAUUACUGAGCCUCUCCAGCCAUAACACUGCGGGGGUUGGCGGUGGUGGUGGUGGCGGCGGUGCGGGGCGGGGCGGGGCGGGCGAUCAGCUGGCCACGGUAAUGCGAAUGAGGUUUGCCCCGCCACAGAAUAUUAUGUUAAAGUCAUUUUUUUCCGAUAUUUUAGGGGGAUGUGAAGAAAAUAUGACCAAAAUAUUGCCUGUUUUACCUGAUAGGGGGUAAAAUAUUGCCUGUUUUACCUGAUAGGGGGUAAAAUAUUGCCUGUUUUACCUGAUAGGACGUAAAAUAUUGCCUGUUUUACCUGAUAGGGGGUCACGCUCCCCGUCCCCCACCCUCGCCCUAACCUGACCUAACCCAGUGACCCCAGUUAACCUAAUGUGAGCUGCACCCUCCUUCAACCUCAUUAACCUGACCUAACAGGGGGUUAUGCCUCUUUGACCGCCCCCUGACCUAAGCUGACCCUCUGUCCACCUACUGAGGAAGACGGUGCAGGACACACACACACGCACACACACACAUGCUGAGUAAUGAAGUUCCCAGAGGACAUUUAAGAACACAAAUCCCUCCCUCCUUUGACGAUAAGGAGGAAUAGGAGGAGGAGGAGAGAGGGAAGAAAGGAGAGGAGGAGGAGAAGGAGAUAGAAGUGUUGAAAGAGAAAAAGGAGGAGGAGGAGGAGGAGAAGAAAUCAGUUACAAGAGAAGAAGGAGGAGGAGAAAGAACAAGAAGAAGAGGAACAGGAGGAAGAAAUGGAGGAACAGAAGAGAGAGAAGGAAGAAAAGUGAGUGAAGGAAGGAAGAAGAGGAGGAGGAAAAGAGGAAGAAUGAGAGAAUAAUGGAGAAGUGGAAGAAGAAGACACAAGGAAUAAUAAGAUAGGUUAAGGACUUGGCCAUCUUACUGAAGGGAAAUGCUUUGAAGGACUCGGAAAGGGACACUAUCUGGAAAUGCAUACUGAAGGAGCCUUAUCACAAUUUCCCGUCAUCUCACUGCUCAGCCCUUCCCAGCUCUCCAGCAGCCUCCUAUAGGGUGCUGGGCAGGCUAUACAUGCUGUGGCAACCUUCUACAGUCUACAGGUCAAGAUGCAGGCCCCUACAUGCUCCCUACCUCUGAAAAACCCCAUAGAUUUGAACAACCUUGAAAAAAAAAUUGUCUGGAUCUUGUAAUAUUUUGUCCGCUGUGGGAGAAUCUGUGGGUGUUUCUACUGGUCCUGUGGGUCAGUCGGGUCCCCAAGGGUGUGUUCUGCUCCCACAGGUGUCUGCAGGCCCCGUGGAAGGUGCUGGGGGCUUAGAAGAGGGGUGUGAAUAUGGGCUAAGUUCCCCCAGUAUUGCCAUCACCACAGGGGGUACCAAGGGGUGUAGCAGUCCCCCACAGACCCCCACUGAGGCCACAGAGCAGGAGGGAGCACCAGGGGAGAAGGGAGGGGCUGGGGAAGAUGAGGAGGUGUUGGAGUCCUGUCAAUUCACACCAGUCUUUGAAAACAUUGGGGCCUCUUGGAAAGAUAAGAUCACAUGACCUCUCCCACACCCUUGACCUGACCAUGCAGCUGGCCAGGACCAUACUGAGGCGAUCUGAGAGUCUCCGAACUUCUCUGUCCCAACCCAGCAGCAGCAAUAGCCCAAGAAGUAGCCCAAAUGUAGCCUGCCAUAAGAGAUAGCACAGUAGCUAAAAAAAUAGCCCAAAGAUUAGGUUGCCAAAAAAAUAGCCCAAAGAAUGUGUUUUUUUUUGUUUUAUUUAUUUAGUUCAUUUAUUUUAAUUGUAAAGGAAGUUAGGAAUUUUUUUUUUUAUAGUCAGUGAGUUCUCUAAGUCAAGAAAGGUGUGUGUGUAUGUGUGUGUGUGUCAGUCAGUCAGUCAGUUAGUCAGUCAGUCAGACAGACAGACAGACAGACAGACAGACUUAUGCCAUUGAGAAAAUGACAUUAAGCUCUAGUCUAUUAAAAGUACAGAUUUAAUAUUUAAGUGAGACAGAGAGAGAGAGAGAGAGAGAGAGAGAGAGAGAGAGAGAGAGAGAGAGAGAGAAUAAUUGUACUGUGUGUGUGUGAGAAAUAUGACUGACUGCCCAGAUCCCCCUAUGAGGCAGCCGAUUGGUUGACAACUUUGUGCUUGUAUCUGAUUGGUCACCAUGACUUAAAUGUUGUGUUUGAUAAGUUUUUGAGGUCAUUUUCAAGUUUGGCCAAGUUCUGACUAAGUUCUGAAUUAAAAUAUUGUGUUUUUAUGAAGAUUUUUUGUUAAGGAAAGUUUGGCUAAUUUUUUUUUUAAGUUCUGAGUCAAAAUGUUGUGUUUCUGAUAAGUUUUUAAGGUCAUUUUCAAGUUUGGCCAAGUUCUGACUAAGUUCUGAAUUAAAAUAUUGUGUUUUUGUGAAGAUUUUUAGUUAAGGAAAGUUUGGGAUUUUUUAAAAAGUUCUUAGUCAAAAUGUUGUGUUUCUGAUAAGUUUUUAAGGUCAUUUUCAAGUCUGGCCAAGUUCUGACUAAGUUCUGGAUUAAAAUAUUGUGUUUUUGUGAAGAUUUUUAGUUAAGGAAAGUUUGGGAUUUUUUUAAAGUUCUUAGUCAAAAUGUUGUGUUUCUGAUAAGUUUUUAAGGUCAUUUUCAAGUCUGGCGAAGUUCUGACUAAGUUCUGAAUUUAAAUAUUGUGUUUUUGUGAAGAUUUUUAGUUAAGGAAAGUUUGGCUAAUUUUUUUUUAAAGUUCUGAGUCAAAAUGUUGUGUUUCUGAUAAGUUUUAAAGGUCAUUUUCAGGUUUGGCCAAGUUCUGACUAAGUUAUAAUUGAAAGUAUUGUGUUUUUGACAAGUUUAUAAGUGAAAAUUUGUGUUAAGUUCAUUGCAGUGAAAGUUGAUGUGUAUACUUAAGUUAUUCACUUAUAGAAACUUAUAAGGGCUUAAAGGUUACAUUAAAAAAAUUAGAGGAAUAAA
This is an RNA transcript of Scylla paramamosain (green mud crab), 3163 nucleotides long. RefSeq lists it as uncharacterized. Lineage: Eukaryota; Metazoa; Arthropoda; Malacostraca; Decapoda; Portunidae. The transcript is spliced from 5 exons. The record is from RefSeq and is a predicted model, not a curated record.